AUUGAACGCUGGCGGCAGGCCUAACACAUGCAAGUCGAACGGUAACAGGAAGCAGCUUGCUGCUUUGCUGACGAGUGGCGGACGGGUGAGUAAUGUCUGGGAAACUGCCUGAUGGAGGGGGAUAACUACUGGAAACGGUAGCUAAUACCGCAUAACGUCGCAAGACCAAAGAGGGGGACCUUCGGGCCUCUUGCCAUCGGAUGUGCCCAGAUGGGAUUAGCUAGUAGGUGGGGUAACGGCUCACCUAGGCGACGAUCCCUAGCUGGUCUGAGAGGAUGACCAGCCACACUGGAACUGAGACACGGUCCAUACUCCUACGGGAGGCAGCAGUGGGGAAUAUUGCACAAUGGGCGCAAGCCUGAUGCAGCCAUGCCGCGUGUAUGAAGAAGGCCUUCGGGUUGUAAAGUACUUUCAGCGGGGAGGAAGGGAGUAAAGUUAAUACCUUUGCUCAUUGACGUUACCCGCAGAAGAAGCACCGGCUAACUCCGUG
This 490-nucleotide ribosomal RNA is filed under the name uncultured bacterium. RNAcentral describes it as "partial 16S ribosomal RNA". It matches the Rfam family "Bacterial small subunit ribosomal RNA", at positions 30 to 507 of the family's 1533-position model. The record is from RNAcentral.